Molecule: ribosomal RNA, 500 nt
Filed under: uncultured bacterium
Lineage: Bacteria
Description: partial 16S ribosomal RNA
Rfam family: Bacterial small subunit ribosomal RNA
Source: RNAcentral
AUUGAACGCUGGCGGCAUGCCUUACACAUGCAAGUCGAACGGCAGCACGGGAGCAAUCCUGGUGGCGAGUGGCGAACGGGUGAGUAAAGUAUCGGAACGUGCCCAGUCGUGGGGGAUAACGUAGCGAAAGUUACGCUAAUACCGCAUACGAUCUAUGGAUGAAAGCGGGGGACCGCAAGACCUCGCGCGAUUGGAGCGGCCGAUAUCAGAUUAGGUAGUUGGUGGGGUAAAGGCUCACCAAGCCGACGAUCUGUAGCUGGUCUGAGAGGACGACCAGCCACACUGGGACUGAGACACGGCCCAGACUCCUACGGGAGGCAGCAGUGGGGAAUUCUGGACAAUGGGCGCAAGCCUGAUCCAGCCAUGCCGCGUGCAGGAUGAAGGCCUUCGGGUUGUAAACUGCUUUUGUACGGAACGAGAAGGUUUGGCUUAAUACGUUGAACUCAUGACGGUACCGUAAGAAUAAGCACCGGCUAACUACGUGCCAGCCGCCGCAGUAA